UACGUAGGGUGCGAGCGUUAAUCGGAAUUACUGGGCGUAAAGUGUGCGCAGGCGGCCGAGCAAGUCGAGUGUGAAAGCCCCGAGCUUAACUUGGGAACUGCGCUCGAAACUACUUGGCUAGAGUGUGGCAGAGGGAGGUGGAAUUCCACGUGUAGCGGUGAAAUGCGUAGAGAUGUGGAGGAACACCGAUGGCGAAGGCAGCCUCCUGGGCCAACACUGACGCUCAUGCACGAGAGCGUGGGGAGCAAACAGG
RNAcentral lists this ribosomal RNA (253 nucleotides) under uncultured bacterium. RNAcentral describes it as "partial 16S ribosomal RNA". It matches the Rfam family "Bacterial small subunit ribosomal RNA", at positions 524 to 776 of the family's 1533-position model. The record is from RNAcentral.